UUUUUGCGUGAGGGAUUGAAGUGGAGCUUUUUUUUUAUGAUGCGAUUUUUAUCGCUUUAUAAAAAAAAGCGGGAACGUAAAGCCCAGUUCGCC
This 93-nucleotide small RNA is filed under the name Flavobacterium micromati. Its description in RNAcentral is "Flavo-1 RNA". It matches the Rfam family "Flavo-1 RNA". Lineage: Bacteria; Pseudomonadati; Bacteroidota; Flavobacteriia; Flavobacteriales; Flavobacteriaceae. The record is from Rfam by way of RNAcentral.